UGAGGUCACGGCAAGACGAGCCGUUUAUCAUCACGAUAAUAGGUGCCAAGUGGAAGUGCAGUAAUGUAUGCAGCUGAGGCAUCCUAACAGACCGAGAGAUUUGAAC
RNAcentral lists this ribosomal RNA (106 nucleotides) under Selaginella sanguinolenta. RNAcentral's name for it is "4.5S ribosomal RNA". RNAcentral also lists the same sequence under 2 other names. The record is from RNAcentral. Lineage: Eukaryota; Viridiplantae; Streptophyta; Lycopodiopsida; Selaginellales; Selaginellaceae.